CACGCCGUAAACGAUGAAUACUAGGUGUAGGGGGUAUGAACUCCCUCUGUGCCGUAGCUAACGCAAUAAGUAUUCCGCCUGGGGAGUACGGCCGCAAGGUUGAAACUCAAAGGAAUUGACGGGGGCCCGCACAAGCAGCGGAGCAUGUGGUUUAAUUCGAAGCAACGCGAAGAACCUUACCAAGGCUUGACAUCCACUUAAAGCUAUGGAAACAUAGUGUCCCUUCGGGGGAAGUGAGACAGGUGG
Molecule: ribosomal RNA, 246 nt
Filed under: uncultured bacterium
Lineage: Bacteria
Description: partial 16S ribosomal RNA
Rfam family: Bacterial small subunit ribosomal RNA
Source: RNAcentral